Molecule: small nuclear RNA, 107 nt
Filed under: Carlito syrichta (Philippine tarsier)
Lineage: Eukaryota; Metazoa; Chordata; Mammalia; Primates; Tarsiidae
Source: RNAcentral
GUGCUUACUUUGGCAGCAUAUAUACUGAAAUUGGAACCAGAAAGAGAAGAUUAGCAUGGCUCUUGCGCAAGGAUGACAAACAAAUUCAUGAAGAGUUCCACCCGAAA